RNAcentral lists this ribosomal RNA (285 nucleotides) under Aegla paulensis. Its description in RNAcentral is "partial 12S small subunit ribosomal RNA". Lineage: Eukaryota; Metazoa; Arthropoda; Malacostraca; Decapoda; Aeglidae. The record is from RNAcentral.
UAUUUUAGUCUUGUUAGAGGAACCUGUUUUAUAAUCGAUAAACCACGAAUAUCUUACUUAUUUUAAAUAAUUUGUAUACCGUCAUUAUUAGAUAACUUUCAAAAAAAUUAGUUAUUAAAAUUAAAUAAAAUUAAAUAUAUUAGAUCAAGGUGCAGUUAAUAAAUAAGAAAAAAUGGGUUACAAUAAAAUUUAUUUAAAACGAAUUAUAUAAAUGUAAAAAUAUAUGAAGGAGGAUUUAAUUGUAAUUUUUUAUAAAAUAAUAAUAUGAUAAUAGCUCUAAAAUAU